This is a long non-coding RNA of Xyrauchen texanus (razorback sucker), 3039 nucleotides long. RefSeq lists it as uncharacterized. Lineage: Eukaryota; Metazoa; Chordata; Actinopteri; Cypriniformes; Catostomidae. The record is from RefSeq and is a predicted model, not a curated record. The transcript has 4 exons.
GCAAAUUUAAUCGAAAUCACAAGCGGUUACUUUUCUAUUCAAUGGCAAUGUGGACUGAAAUUCAAACAGAUUGAGGGUUUUAUGUUCAUGUCACCUCCAGAAUGGGAUGGACAGAGAGCAGAUUACACCAUUUCUUCAUAUGUUUUAUCCUAAUCUUCAAGAUCGUGUUAAAUGAGUAUUAAGGCACAUCCAGUGACAGGAUCAACAUCCGAGAUGGUUUUUGAGAGAUAUUGGGGGUAUUUUAUUUAAACAUCGUAGCUCUUAAAACUGAAUUUCCAAAGAGAUGCUGGUGCUCCAGUAUACCUGAAUUAAUUCCAUCAUUCUCACUUCAGCACUUCAAAAGAAAAGACCCAGAUUUGUUGGAAGUGACCAUGUAGAUGACGUUAUAUUUGUAUAUUAGUUACAUUUUUAAUUAAAAUGGUUAUUUUGCAUUUUUAAAUUAAGUUUGUAUAAAAAUUAUAUAACUUUUGGCAGUCCGAUCACAUAACAAGUGAAAAAAGGAGAGUUGCAGUUGAUUUUACAUCUGUUUCAUUCAUCAUACUGGAAUUGGAAGGUCAAGUUGAGUGCAUUUCAUUGGAGCAUUGUGUAUCCAGUGCAGGAUGAUCUGUUCUAUACUGUACAUUGGAGCUAAUGUAGUUGGUUAUCCAGGUUUUCUAAGCCAUGAACCAAACCAGCUAGCUCCAAGGUGAAUUAUAAAAGAAAAAAUUUGAUUUGAAGGAAUAAAGUAUUUGAAAAUAGGUAAAAAAAAGACAAAGGUAUGUGUACUUACCGUCUUAGCGAGAAUAAACUGUUCCCUUCUUGGGAUCUCUCAGUGGUCCUCUAGGGUCUUCAGAGGCCCUCCUUUGAGCUGCUUGAUUCAGUCGAGCUGAAGGCCUUCUCCCUGAAGGCGGCCCUCCUGAUCGCGUUAGCCUCCAUCAAGAGGGUUGGAGCGUUCUCUGUCAGCGACACCUGCCUAGAGUUUGGACCAGCGCUUUCUCACGUUAUCCUGACUACGUGCCCAAAGGUUCCUACGACCCCUUUCAGGGACCAGGUCGUGAACCUGCAAGCGCUGCCUCAAGAGGAGGCAAACUCAGCCCUUUCGUUGCUGUGUCCAGUGCAUGCUUUGCGUACCUAUUUGGACCACACGCAGAGCUUUAGAUGUUCUGAGCAGCUCUUAGUCUGCUUUGGCGGACGGCGGAAAGGGAACGCCGUCUCGAAACAGAGGUUAGCCCACUGGGUCGUUGAUGCUAUUGCCUUAGCCUAUCACACCCAGGCCAUGCCCGCCCCUUGCAGGUUUGAGCACACUCUACUAGAAGAGUGGCAUCCUCGUGGGCACUGAGCCAUGGCACCUCCCUUGCAGACAUCUGCAGAGCAGCGGACUGGGCAACACCCAGUACCUUUGCCAGGUUUUACAAUCUGAGGUUUGAGUCGGUCUCGUCCCGUGUUUUGUCAGAUCCGAGCUGGUAGAACUCGUAACGCAGCACAACCGACCUGGUGUUCCGCUUGCACCUUGCCCCCUUCACCAAGUUGAUCCAGUGCGCUUUCUGUCCCAGGUCACCCACUGAGCGUCGCUACCUGGAUGUUUCUCCUCCCUAGCCUGCUGGCCCGCGAAUUAAGUGGAGCAAUUCGCGGCCAGACCCACUACGAGUCUCAAAUGCUCUGUACUGGGGUCGGGCUCCACGGGCAUAGUUCCCUCUUCAGGCUAACUCCUCAUGAUGUAUUUUCCACUGUACGGUCCCCCUUGUCAGCGGACCCGCGUUUCCCCCAGGCAGCCCCUCUGCCCCGGCUGCCGUGCUUGUAGAGUCCCCCCUCAUUAGGCUGGACCUACCACUGGGCCAUAUCCCACAUCCGGCUUCACAACCCUUGUGAUGUAUUUACCACGCAGUACCUCCCCCUAAAACUGGGCAGGGAGUGGACUCCACAGGGUCUUUCCCUCCUGAAAGAAUAGAAAAUUUGCAGACCGGACAGCUACUUUGCCUCCGGCCUCGCCUACAGCCCUGGCACGCCAGCGCUAACGAGUUCUGAAGACGCCCCCUUAGGCCUCUUCCUCAGUCUCUAAAUCCGCCCCUGCCGGGUGCGCAGAACAGGGUAAGGGCUUCGAGGCUUCUCUCAGCACCCUAGCCUCGGUACAUCCUCCUGCUCCCGACAUGCUAUCUCCUGCUCCCCCAGCGGGGAAAGACUGCCUUCCCUGACUUAAGAUGUGCCCCAGCCGCUUUACAUCCUAUGUGAGAGACAUAGUGAGACUGCUGGGCUUGCUCCCAUGCUAGGCAUGUAACACCUUUUUCCCCCUCAAGGGUGCGGGAAACCUAAGGUUUGUAGCAAAAAAAGAAAAAAAGGAGUUGGGGGCGUUGGGGAGGGCUACAUGCAGCCGGCACAGGCGCCUCUAGCACGCAAUAACCUGCUGUGCACCUGUUUCGACAGUCACAUAACACGGUCAGUGCAUGGCACUUUUCUAUGGACCCCUUGUGUCACUUCAUUCGACACAACGUCGAGAGAGUGACAGAAGGGGAACGUCAUGGUUACUGUCUUAACCUCCGUUCCCCGAGGGAGGGAACGAGGCGUUGUGUCCCUCCUGGCAUGCAAAUUCUGUCUGCCAACUUGACAUUGGCCUUUCCUCAGGUUCAGAGGUACGAUUCGGCGUCCAAGGAAGACCCCUUGUGUCACUUCAUUUGACACAAUGUCUCGUUCCCUCCCUCGGGGAACGGAGGUUAUGACAGUAACCAUGACGUUUUCUUCAUUUGACUGUUUCCUUGUCUUGAAUAAUUACUAGAGAAAUUGAACGAUGUUUACCUAACAUCGACAAAUGUAACUGAUAUUGGUAGUUGGGGGGAACUCUGCUUAAGGCAACAAAAGUAGACUAUGCACAUUUCAUGAAUAUCUAUUGUACAGAACGGUGGCAAGAAUGUCUUAUACAAUGUCAAACUUCCACAACAUUUCUGUAUUUAAAACGUGUUUGUGGCAGGGCAAAGGGCGGGACCGGGUCGUGAUUCUACACACCAGGUCCCUUAUCAGGCUAAUCAAGCCUCUGAGAGGGAUAAAGGCCGACUGUGGAGGAUGGUG